Molecule: long non-coding RNA, 1148 nt
Filed under: Androctonus crassicauda
Lineage: Eukaryota; Metazoa; Arthropoda; Arachnida; Scorpiones; Buthidae
Source: RNAcentral
AGGUCCCACGGGGAGGGUGGCUGCUAAGGUUGGAAGAAUCCUUGAGUCGGGACGGUUUCCGGAUGUUUGGAGGGUGAAGAGGGUCAGCUGCCCCCUCCCAUCAAGGCUUUUUGGAUAUGUCAAAGGACAUAAAGAUCCUGUAUCAAUGAGACCUAUGGUGGAUGGAGGGAUGUCGCUGCUAUACCAUCUGGAGGGGAUGAUUGCGGCAUGGGCCCAAAAGUGUCUUGAAGGAUAUGAGUAUGCUGUAAACCAAACAAAAGAAAUUUCUAUCAUAACUUAAAAAAGAGGGCAUUUUAUACUUGAUCCAUAAACAUACCUUGAAAAAGAUUGGUGAUUCUGUGAUUUUCUUUUCUUUUUUGUUAAAUCCUUGACAAUACAGAAGCUAUUUAAUAUAUUGACUACAACGACAAAACAGUAGUGGAAGAAGCACUAAUUGAAAUGCAAAGAGAUGAAAUUGCAGAAGAAAUCUAAUGCUCUGAGAAGAGUAGCAUUGUCCAGAGAAGAAGUGUAAUGUCUUCAGUUUUUCUUUGUCUACUUUCAUGGUCCACUUAAUCAUAUCAGUGGAGAGAGAGAUUCAAAUCCAUUUCUGACCAUAUUUUAUCAGAUUGAACCUCCUCUCUUCUACUAGGAUUAGCAGGUAGACUUUACUGACAAGAUAAUUUACAUUAUUUAUUUUUCAGUUCCCCUAACCUGGAUUAUGAAGCUAUGUGAAACUGGAUUAUUAUUUCCUCUCUCAAGCCAUUGUUUAUAAUUUUGUGGUGUUCAUGUUAUCCCAAGAGAAAGAAGGCAUAAACUAUAGAGCACAAGAUCUUAAAAACAUAUCUUUAUUUUCUAUAGUCACAUCUGUUGACUGUACAAUUCAAGUGAUAGUCCAACAACUCUCCGAGAGCGACACUCAGCCCUCUCGCGGUGAAAAGUUUUCUUCUUCUAAUUUGCAUGUUUGUCCCCACAGUUUUUUUUAUAGAUUUCUUUUCUUUCUCUCCUCUCUCGCCUGAAAAGGUCAUUUAAAAUUAAGCUUUUUCCAAUUGAAUUUAUUAGAUUUUUUAUAGUCUGAAGUUAGAUUAUCAUAAUAAAUUUUCAAAAUAUUACAUAUAUUGGCAAUUUUGCAGUAUAUAAUUAAAAUUAAUUCAUAUCAUAAAAUAAAUUUU